RNAcentral lists this unclassified non-coding RNA (221 nucleotides) under Hevea brasiliensis (rubber tree). Lineage: Eukaryota; Viridiplantae; Streptophyta; Magnoliopsida; Malpighiales; Euphorbiaceae. The record is from RNAcentral.
AGAAUACCUUCUUCAGCACGCUGUCCAAACCCCCUCCCUCCUCCCUGCCGUAGCCCAUGGUCCACCGUCCAUCGGAAGGGUCAGGGGCGAACGGGUCGGGUAGGCGAUUGUCGAGCCGGCACGACCGCGCGUCCGAGAAACAGAACGGGAGGACUUUGAAGGGCGGGAUGCCGCCAGCGAGCAGGCGCCGCCGGAGCUUGAGGUACAGGAGCGCACCCCAG